RNAcentral lists this ribosomal RNA (1957 nucleotides) under Meloidogyne graminis. RNAcentral describes it as "SSU rRNA". The stretch from base 1 to 1731 matches the Rfam family "Eukaryotic small subunit ribosomal RNA". Lineage: Eukaryota; Metazoa; Nematoda; Chromadorea; Rhabditida; Meloidogynidae. The record is from RNAcentral.
AGUUUAAUCGUUUUUACGAGAAACCGCGAACGGCUCAUUACAAUGGCCAUGAUUUACUUGAUCUUGAUAAAUCCUAAAUGGAUAACUGUGGAAAAUCUAGAGCUAAUACAUGCACUAAAGCUAUGUCCUUCGGAAUAGCGCAUUUAUUAGAACAAAACCAAGCGGCUUCGGCUGCUUUUUGGUGAUUCAGAAUAACUAAGCUGACCGCAUGGCCUUGUGCCGGCGGCGUGUCUUUCAAGUGUCCACUUUAUCAACUUGACGGGAGCAUAAUCGACUCCCGUGGUGGUGACGGAUAACGGAGGAUCAGGGUUCGACUCCGGAGAAGGGGCCUGAGAAAUGGCCACUACGUCUAAGGAUGGCAGCAGGCGCGCAAAUUACCCACUCUCGGCUCGAGGAGGUAGUGACGAGAAAUAACGAGAUCGUUCUCUUAUGAGGCCGGUCAUCGGAAUGGGUACAAUUUAAACCCUUUAACGAGUAUCAAGCAGAGGGCAAGUCUGGUGCCAGCAGCCGCGGUAAUUCCAGCUCUGCCAAUGCAUAGACUUAUUGCUGCGGUUAAAAAGCUCGUAGUUGGAUCUGUUUCGAUAUCCUGGAACCCUUUUUAGGUGUUUCUAGGUUUUAUCGAUUUUUCGUAAUGUUUCGGACUUGAAUUCUUAACGGAAUUCAUUUCUAGACAUUGCAGGUUUACUUUGAACAAAUCAGAGUGCUUCAAACAAGCGUUUUCGCUUGAAUGAUCGUGCAUGGAAUAAUAGAAAACGAUUUCGGUUCAGUUUUAUUGGUUUUACGGACUGAGAUAAUGGUUAACAGAGACAAACGGGGGCAUUUGUAUGGCCCCAUGAGAGUGAAUUCUCGAACCGUGGGCAGACAAACUACAGCGAAAGCAUUUGCCAAGAAUGUCUUCAUUAAUCAAGAACGAAAGUCAGAGGUUCGAAGGCGAUCAGAUACCGCCCUAGUUCUGACCGUAAACGAUGCCAACUAGCGAUCCGCCGAUGGAGAUUAUAUUGCCUUGGUGGGGAGCUUCCCGGAAACGAAAGUCUUCCGGUUCCGGGGGAAGUAUGGUUGCAAAGCUGAAACUUAAAGGAAUUGACGGAAGGGCACCACCAGGAGUGGAGCCUGCGGCUUAAUUUGACUCAACACGGGGAAACUCACCCGGCCCGGACACUGUGAGGAUUGACAGAUUGAUAGCUUUUUCAUGAUUCAGUGGAUGGUGGUGCAUGGCCGUUCUUAGUUCGUGGAGUGAUUUGUCUGGUUUAUUCCGAUAACGAGCGAGACUCUAACCUACUAAAUAGCUGAUACAUAUUUUUGUGUAUUCGGCUUCUUAGAGGGAUUUGCGGUGUUCAGCCGAAAGAAAUUGAGCAAUAACAGGUCUGUGAUGCCCUUAGAUGUCCGGGGCUGCACGCGCGCUACACUGGCAAAAUCAACGUGCUUGUCCUGCCCCGAAAGGGGUGGGUAAACCAUUGAAAAUUUGCCGUGAUUGGGAUCGGAAAUUGCAAUUAUUUUCCGUGAACGAGGAAUUCCAAGUAAGUGCGAGUCAUCAGCUCGCGUUGAUUACGUCCCUUCCCUUUGUACACACCGCCCGUCGCUGCCCGGGAGUGAGCCAUUUCGAGAAAUUUGGGGACCGUUGAUUUAAUUUUUUUAAAUUACUUUUGAUGGAAACCAAUUUAAUCGCAGUGGCUUGAACCGGGCAAAAGUCGUAACAAGGUAGCUGUAGGUGAACCUGCUGCUGGAUCAUUACUUUUAUGUGAUGUUCAUAUUUGAAAUUUCACACCUUUAGAUGUGUAACGGCUGUCGCUGGUGUCUAUGUGUUGCUGAUUCAGUUGUGAACGUCCGUGACUGAAUAUGAGGUGACAUGUUAGGAUCUUUUUUAAGAUCGUAAGACUUAAUGAGCCCUUUAUUGGGACGCCAGCACCCUUUUUUUCUUUAAAUUUUUUUAAAAAACGAAAAAUUCUAGCCUUACCGG